RNAcentral lists this ribosomal RNA (253 nucleotides) under uncultured bacterium. Its description in RNAcentral is "partial 16S ribosomal RNA". It matches the Rfam family "Bacterial small subunit ribosomal RNA", at positions 524 to 776 of the family's 1533-position model. The record is from RNAcentral.
UACGUAGGGUGCAAGCGUUAAUCGGAAUUACUGGGCGUAAAGCGUGCGCAGGCGGUUGUGCAAGACAGAUGUGAAAUCCCCGGGCUCAACCUGGGAAUUGCAUUUGUGACUGCACGGCUAGAGUGUGUCAGAGGGGGGUAGAAUUCCACGUGUAGCAGUGAAAUGCGUAGAUAUGCGGAGGAACACCGAUGGCGAAGGCAAUCCCCUGGACCUGUACUGACGCUCAUGCACGAAAGCGUGGGGAGCAAACAGG